This 683-nucleotide ribosomal RNA is filed under the name uncultured Bacteroidales bacterium. Its description in RNAcentral is "bacterial SSU rRNA". It matches the Rfam family "Bacterial small subunit ribosomal RNA", at positions 61 to 731 of the family's 1533-position model. The record is from RNAcentral. Lineage: Bacteria; Pseudomonadati; Bacteroidota; Bacteroidia; Bacteroidales.
GUCGAGGGGCAGCAUGGUCUUAGCUUGCUAAGGCUGAUGGCGACCGGCGCACGGGUGAGUAACACGUAUCCAACCUGCCGUCUACUCUUGGCCAGCCUUCUGAAAGGAAGAUUAAUCCAGGAUGGGAUCAUGAGUUCACAUGUCCGCAUGAUUAAAGGUAUUUUCCGGUAGACGAUGGGGAUGCGUUCCAUUAGAUAGUAGGCGGGGUAACGGCCCACCUAGUCAACGAUGGAUAGGGGUUCUGAGAGGAAGGUCCCCCACAUUGGAACUGAGACACGGUCCAAACUCCUACGGGAGGCAGCAGUGAGGAAUAUUGGUCAAUGGGCGAUGGCCUGAACCAGCCAAGUAGCGUGAAGGAUGACUGCCCUAUGGGUUGUAAACUUCUUUUAUAAAGGAAUAAAGUCGGGUAUGCAUACCCGUUUGCAUGUACUUUAUGAAUAAGGAUCGGCUAACUCCGUGCCAGCAGCCGCGGUAAUACGGAGGAUCCGAGCGUUAUCCGGAUUUAUUGGGUUUAAAGGGAGCGUAGAUGGAUGUUUAAGUCAGUUGUGAAAGUUUGCGGCUCAACCGUAAAAUUGCAGUUGAUACUGGAUGUCUUGAGUGCAGUUGAGGCAGGCGGAAUUCGUGGUGUAGCGGUGAAAUGCUUAGAUAUCACGAAGAACUCCGAUUGCGAAGGCAGCCUGCUA